Molecule: ribosomal RNA, 1098 nt
Filed under: Triticum aestivum (bread wheat)
Lineage: Eukaryota; Viridiplantae; Streptophyta; Magnoliopsida; Poales; Poaceae
Description: partial small subunit ribosomal RNA
Source: RNAcentral
AUGGAACUCUCGGAAUUCUUCUCUCCCGUCAACGACCCGGCGGCAAUCUCACGCAGCGGCCUCCUUGGUAUAAUUGACGACCACUGUAAUGGCCUUGUCUUGAUUAAAUACGUUGACCACUAUGUGAUGAAUCCUAUCACACUACAAGGGGUGCUUUUGCCCCCGCCGCCGCCCCCGUCGACGGAGAUGAAGGACUUCUACCAAAAUGGGGCCAAGUAUCUUGUGUUUGAUCCCACUGUCGCGCCAGACUAUGAGGUCUUCUUGAUUCCCCAUGUUCCAGGGAGAGAUAGGUUGGGUCUUUUGUCGCUGGAAUUGGAAUGGCCACCAUCGCCAUUUAUCUUGUCAGUUUAUUCAUCAACAAGUAAGCAUUGGGAGCAGAGGCCCUUUGUUCGGAAAGGGGACGCCAUAGGGUCUAUUGGUCAUAUUCUACAAAGUGAAAAAGAGAGAGAGAAGCACUACGGUGUUUACCUGCGUGGAGCACUUUAUGUGCAUUGCCAGAAUGAUUAUUUCUACAAAAUAUCACCCUCAAACGGCGAGUACCAAGUAAUCAAGCCACCGCCAGGUAUUGAGACAAGCAAUCACCGUCAAGUUUAUUUGGGGAAAUCAUGGAACGAGGUGCGUUGUGCCAUAGUAGACUGUUCGUACGAACUCCGGGUUUGGAUCAUGGAUGAAUCUCACGGACAAUAUGAAUGGGUCUUGAAGCAUCAUAUUGACAUUCUGCAUCUGAUGCAGAGACAAGACAAUCUACAAGUCGACGGCCCAUGGUCUUCACAAGAAUAUUAUUAUGAUGAUGCUGGCCAUGAUCACAUGAAGAAAGCACCACAAGAGUAUUGUUAUGAUUACUUUAGCAUACACAAUGAGGAAGGACCAGCCGCUGAGGGAACUCGACUUGCUUUUCUCGGAUUCCAUCCUUUCAACAAAGAUGUCGUCUUCUUGACGGACACAUCAGAACAAGGAUUUGCCUAUCAUCUUGAGAGCUCUACAGUUGAGCACUUAGAAAAGCUAAACCCAAUGACCAAAUCUGUCUAUUACAACCCCCGAACAUUUGUAGAAGUGUCUUUUCCUUUCACGCCUUGUUUGACAGGAGAAUUAUCGUAA